CCCCUAGACGUUCUGGGCUGCACGCGCGCUACAAUAAUACGCACAGCGAGUAUCACCGAGCUCGAAAGGGCAAGGUAAACAAUAGAAAAGGUACUGUAAUGGUUAUAGAUCCUUGUAAUUAUUUAUCUUCAACGAGGAAUUCCUAGUAAGUAUGUGUCAUCAUCACGCACUGAUUACGUCCCUGCCCUUUGUACACACCGCCCGUCGCUCCUACCGAUUGGGUGAGCCGAUGAAACUCUCGGAUGUAGGCUAUUCAUAGCCCGCAGAAGAGAUUUGAAUCGUAGCGCUUAGAGGAAGGAGAAGUCGUAACA
This 311-nucleotide ribosomal RNA is filed under the name uncultured eukaryote. Its description in RNAcentral is "partial 18S ribosomal RNA". It matches the Rfam family "Eukaryotic small subunit ribosomal RNA", at positions 1470 to 1796 of the family's 1831-position model. The record is from RNAcentral.